CUAACUACGUGCCAGCAGCCGCGGUAAUACGUAGGGUGCGAGCGUUGUCCGGGAAUUAUUGGGCGUAAAGAGCUUGUAGGCGGUUUGUCGCGUCUGCUGUGAAAGACCGGGGCUUAACUCCGGUUCUGCAGUGGGUACGGGCAGACUAGAGUGUGGUAGGGGAGACUGGAAUUCCUGGUGUAGCGGUGAAAUGCGCAGAUACCAGGAGGAACACCGAUGGCGAAGGCAGGUCUCUGGGCCAUUACUGACGCUGAGAAGCGAAAGCAUGGGGAGCGAACAGGAUUAGAUACCCUGGUAGUCCAUGCCGUAAACGUUGGGCGCUAGGUGUGGGACUCAUUCCACGAGUUCCGUGCCGCAGCUAACGCAUUAAGCGCCCCGCCUGGGGAGUACGGCCGCAAGGCUAAAACUCAAAGGAAUUGACGGGGGCCCGCACAAGCGGCGGAGCAUGCGGAUUAAUUCGAUGCAACGCGAAGAACCUUACCAAGGCUUGACAUACACCGGAAUCAUGCAGAGAUGUGUGCGUCUUCGGACUGGUGUACAGGUGGUGCAUGGUUGUCGUCAGCUCGUGUCGUGAGAUGUUGGGUUAAGUCCCGCAACGAGCGCAACCCUCGUUCCAUGUUGCCAGCACGUAAAGGUGGGGACUCAUGGGAGACUGCCGGGGUCAACUCGGAGGAAGGUGGGGAUGACGUCAAAUCAUCAUGCCCCUUAUGUCUUGGGCUUCACGCAUGCUACAAUGGCCGGUACAGAGGGUUGCGAAACCGUGAGGUGGAGCUAAUCCCAAAAAACCGGUCUCAGUUCGGAUUGGGGUCUGCAACUCGACCCCAUGAAGUCGGAGUCGCUAGUAAUCGCAGAUCAGCAACGCUGCGGUGAAUACGUUCCCGGGCCUUGUACACACCGCCCGUCAAGUCACGAAAGUCGGUAACACCCGAAGCCGGUGGCCUAACCCUUGUGGGGGGAGCCGUCGAAG
This 967-nucleotide ribosomal RNA is filed under the name uncultured bacterium. RNAcentral's name for it is "bacterial SSU rRNA". It matches the Rfam family "Bacterial small subunit ribosomal RNA", at positions 497 to 1461 of the family's 1533-position model. The record is from RNAcentral.